GUGAGGAAUUUUCCGCAAUGGGCGAAAGCCUGACGGAGCAAUGCCGCGUGAAGGAUGAAGGCCUAUGGGUUGUAAACUUCUUUUCUCAGAAAAGAAUUAUGACGGUAUCUGAGGAAUAAGCAUCGGCUAACUCUGUGCCAGCAGCCGCGGUAAGACAGAGGAUGCAAGCGUUAUCCGGAAUGAUUGGGCGUAAAGCGUCUGUAGGUUGUUUAAAAAGUAUUCUGUCAAAGAUUAGGGCUUAACCCUAUAUAGGCAGAAUAAACUUUUAAGCUAGAGUUUGGUAGAGGCAGAGGGAAUUCCCGGUGGAGCGGUGAAAUGCGUAGAUAUCGGGAGGAACACCAAAGGCGAAGGCACUCUGCUGGGCCAAUACUAACACUGAGAGACGAAAGCGAGGGGAGCAAAUGGGAUUAGAAACCCUAGUAGUCC
This 426-nucleotide ribosomal RNA is filed under the name uncultured bacterium. Its description in RNAcentral is "partial 16S ribosomal RNA". It matches the Rfam family "Bacterial small subunit ribosomal RNA", at positions 354 to 796 of the family's 1533-position model. The record is from RNAcentral.